AGGGGCGGCCCUCCUUGGGCGUUUCCUCCCUAAACUCGGGCCGGUCAUCCUUCGGAGUGGCCGGCCUUUUUCGUUUCAGCG
RNAcentral lists this small RNA (81 nucleotides) under Allobosea sp. Root381. RNAcentral describes it as "Bosea sp. Root381 Makes More Granules Regulator RNA (mmgR)". It matches the Rfam family "Makes More Granules Regulator RNA (mmgR)". From Rfam's summary of the family: SuhB later renamed mmgR (makes more granules regulator) was a putative non-coding RNA found multiple times in the Agrobacterium tumefaciens genome and related alpha-proteobacteria. Other non-coding RNAs uncovered in the same analysis include: speF, ybhL, metA, and serC. The record is from Rfam by way of RNAcentral. Lineage: Bacteria; Pseudomonadati; Pseudomonadota; Alphaproteobacteria; Hyphomicrobiales; Alloboseaceae.